AAUGAACGCUGGCGGCGCGCCUAAUACAUGCAAGUCGAGCGAGAAGACGUAGCAAUACGUUUGUAAAGCGGCGAACGGGUGAGGAAUACAUGGGUAACCUACCCUCGAGUGGGGAAUAACUAGCCGAAAGGUUAGCUAAUACCGCGUACGCUCCUUGGACUUCGGUUCAGGGAGGAAAGCGAUACCGUGGGUAUCGCGCUCUUGGUUGGGCUCAUGUCCUAUCAGCUUGUUGGGAGGUAACGGCUCACCAAGGCUUCGACGGGUAGCUGGUCUGAGAGGACGAUCAGCCACACUGGCACUGCGACACGGGCCAGACUCCUACGGGAGGCAGCAGUAAGGAAUAUUGCGCAAUGGGCGAAAGCCUGACGCAGCGACGCCGCGUGGGGGAUGAAGGUCUUCGGAUUGUAAACCCCUUUCGGGAGGGAAGAUGGAACGAGCAAUCGUUCGGACGGUACCUCCAGAAGCAGCCACGGCUAACUUCGUGCCAGCAGCCGCUGUAA
This 500-nucleotide ribosomal RNA is filed under the name uncultured bacterium. Its description in RNAcentral is "bacterial SSU rRNA". It matches the Rfam family "Bacterial small subunit ribosomal RNA", at positions 29 to 523 of the family's 1533-position model. The record is from RNAcentral.